RNAcentral lists this ribosomal RNA (884 nucleotides) under uncultured bacterium. RNAcentral's name for it is "bacterial SSU rRNA". It matches the Rfam family "Bacterial small subunit ribosomal RNA", at positions 21 to 902 of the family's 1533-position model. The record is from RNAcentral.
GGCUCAGGAUGAACGCUAGCGGCAGGCUUAAUACAUGCAAGUCGAGGGGCAGCGGGUGUAGCAAUACAUGCCGGCGACCGGCGCACGGGUGCGUAACGCGUAUGCAACCUACCUUUAACCGGAGGAUAGCCCAGAGAAAUCUGGAUUAAUACUCCAUAACAUUGCGAAGAGGCAUCUCUUUGCAAUUAAAGCUCAGGCGGUUUUAGAUGGGCAUGCGUGACAUUAGCUAGUUGGUGAGGUGACGGCUCACCAAGGCUACGAUGUCUAGGGGUUCUGAGAGGAUUAUCCCCCACACUGGUACUGAGACACGGACCAGACUCCUACGGGAGGCAGCAGUAAGGAAUAUUGGGCAAUGGACGCAAGUCUGACCCAGCCAUGCCGCGUGAAGGAUGACGGCCCUAUGGGUUGUAAACUUCUUUUGUACGGGAAAAAACCCCUGGUCGUGAACCGGGGCUGAUGGUACCGUAAGAAUAAGCAUCGGCUAACUCCGUGCCAGCAGCCGCGGUAAUACGGAGGAUGCAAGCGUUAUCCGGAUUCAUUGGGUUUAAAGGGUGCGUAGGCGGGAUAAUAAGUCAGUGGUGAAAUCCUGCAGCUUAACUGCAGAACUGCCAUUGAUACUGUUAACCUUGAGUACAUUUGAAGUGGGCGGAAUGUGUCAUGUAGCGGUGAAAUGCUUAGAUAUGACGCAGAACUCCGAUAGCGAAGGCAGCUCACUAAACUGUAACUGACGCUGAGGCACGAAAGCGUGGGGAUCAAACAGGAUUAGAUACCCUGGUAGUCCACGCCGUAAACUAUGAUCACUCGAUGUGUGCGAUAUACUGUACGCGUCUGAGCGAAAGCAUUAAGUGAUCCACCUGGGGAGUACGUUCGCAAGGAUGAAACUC